Long non-coding RNA from Daphnia pulicaria, 524 nucleotides. RefSeq lists it as uncharacterized. The transcript has 3 exons. The record is from RefSeq and is a predicted model, not a curated record. NCBI's taxonomy places the organism in Eukaryota, Metazoa, Arthropoda, Branchiopoda, Diplostraca, Daphniidae.
AAAUCAUUUCUAGGCCACUGUCACUGUCAGUCAGGAGUGUCAGCUGUCAUUCAAUGGCGGAUUUUUGGCCACGUCGGUCGUUUACGUUUUGCGCGUUGAAUUCCUUUAAUGAAAAUUAAGGUUCCCAUCCUGCAGGACCACAAGCUGUGUGGAAAUUUGUUGCUAGACCUUGAGGAAAUGUUGAGGAAGAACUAUUAGCCAAGAUGUAACUCAACUGGUUUCCAGACUGUGGGUUCCAAGCUGUGGAGAAAUUUGCUUCUAGACCUUAGGACAAUGUUCUCGGGCGCCUUCGGCAAAGAUGUAUUCAACCCUUUUAAGGCAAGACUGAAUUUUGGUUUAUGGUGUAAAACAAUUGCCACUUCAAAUUCUUCAAAAAAGUUAUUGUGAAUUAAUGUCUUUGUAUUAUUUUAUUGGUUGUAAUAAUUAUUACUGGUCUAAUUACAAAAAAACGAUGUAAAAAAAUUUCCCACUUCCGCCCACAAUUCCACCACUGUUUUAUAAGCGCUCAAAUAUCCAAUUAUACA